ACGUAUCAGAAGUGCGAAUGCUGACAUGAGUAACGAUAAUGGGGGUGAAAAACCCCCACGCCGGAAGACCAAGGGUUCCUGCGCAACGCUAAUCGGCGCAGGGUGAGUCGGCCCCUAAGGCGAGACCGAAAGGUGUAGUCGAUGGGAAACGGAUUAAUAUUUCCGUACCUUGGAUAGCUGCGAUGGAGAGACGGAGAAGGCUAGGUGAGCCGGGCGACGGUUGUCCCGGUUUAAGCGUGUAGGGAGUGGACUUAGGCAAAUCCGGGUCCACAAUCCCGAGACGC
Molecule: ribosomal RNA, 284 nt
Filed under: Pseudo-nitzschia fraudulenta
Lineage: Eukaryota; Bacillariophyta; Bacillariophyceae; Bacillariales; Bacillariaceae
Description: partial Bacterial large subunit ribosomal RNA
Rfam family: Bacterial large subunit ribosomal RNA
Source: RNAcentral